GUUGCCAUCGGGUAAAGCCGGGCACUCUAAGGGGACUGCCAGCGACAAGUUGGAGGAAGGAGAGGAUGACGUCAAGUCAUCAUGGCCUUUAUGCCUAGGGCCACACACGUGCAACAAUGGCCGGUACAGACGGAGGCAAUGCCGAGAGGCGGAGCAAACCCGAGAAAACCGGUCCCAGUUCGGAUUGAGGUCUGCAACUCGACCUCCAUGAAGUCGGAAUCGC
Molecule: ribosomal RNA, 223 nt
Filed under: uncultured bacterium
Lineage: Bacteria
Description: partial 16S ribosomal RNA
Rfam family: Bacterial small subunit ribosomal RNA
Source: RNAcentral